This 71-nucleotide transfer RNA is filed under the name Loxodonta africana (African savanna elephant). It matches the Rfam family "tRNA". Rfam says of the family: Transfer RNA (tRNA) molecules are approximately 80 nucleotides in length. Their secondary structure includes four short double-helical elements and three loops (D, anti-codon, and T loops). The record is from Rfam by way of RNAcentral. Lineage: Eukaryota; Metazoa; Chordata; Mammalia; Proboscidea; Elephantidae.
GCAUUGAUGGUUCAGUGGUGGAAUUCUCAUCUUCCAUGUGGAAGACCUAGGUUCGAUUCCCAGCCAAUUCA